AAUCAUACUCUAAAAUUUUAAGCAAAUUGUAACUGGACAGAUUAUUCUUAUGAUGCAAUCAGAUAUGCAAAGCAAUUUUCUACUUUCAUGCCACGAUCUUAUAAGUAUGGCAAAGUACCAGAUGUUAACCUUAUGGUUUUCUUUUACAAAUUGUGACUUGGAUGGAGGGUUGUCUUAUUGGCACCCACAACAACAAUAUAUAUUUCCACUAUAUUCAAUUAGAGGUCAAUAUCUAUUGAUGCAAUUAUUGAUGCAAUCGGAAGUGAAAAUCUAAUUAGCAAAGCCAUUUUGUAGUUUCAUGCUUCAGAUACUGACACAUGACAAAUGGUUUGUUUACAUCCUAGCUGGCAACAUCUCUAUGCAUGAUAAAAAAGUAACAAACUUCAUCUUUUAUUAAAAGAUUAUUUUAUCAGUGAUACUGAUUGAUGUAGGUAUAAACAGCCGCCCACGAAA
This 453-nucleotide long non-coding RNA is filed under the name Mytilus galloprovincialis (Mediterranean mussel). Lineage: Eukaryota; Metazoa; Mollusca; Bivalvia; Mytilida; Mytilidae. The record is from RNAcentral.